GCCAAUAACCUAGCCCUACCUUCAACUUAUGGACUUUUACCCUUUCCAGUCCCACCACAAAAUAUUUUUACAAUUUAGUAAAGAUGAUAAAAAAAUUAUUAGGAGCUAUAGAUGGUACCGCAAGGGAACAGUGAAAUAGUAAUGAAAUAAAUUUUAAGCACAAAAAAGUAAAGGUUAACCCUUGUACCUUUCGCAUCAUGGUUUAACUAGUUUAACUAAGCAAAAUGAUUUUAAGUUUAACAUCCCGAAACUAGGUGAGCUACUCGAGGGCAGCUUUUUAGAGCAAACCCGUCUCUGUCGCAAAAGAGUGGGAAGACCCCCAAGUAGAGGUGACAUACCUAACGAACUUNNNNNNAGCUGGUUACUCAAGAAAAGAAUUUUAGUUCAACUUAAAGUCUUAUUAAUCCCCAAAAAAUAUACCUCUAGACUUUUAUGCUAAUCAAAUAAGGUACAGCUUAUUUGAAACAGGAGACAACCUCCGCCACUGGGUAAGUACCUCCCUCCCCCGUAAACCCGUAGGCCUAAGAGCAGCCAUCAAUUAUAGCGUCAAAGCUGAUUUACGCUAUCAAACUAAUAACUUGAUUUCACUACGAACCCCACACUAAUAUUGAGUAAUUCUAUGUCCCCAUAGAACUUUUUAUGUUAAAACUAGUAACAAGAAGCCAACCUUCUCUUAAAUGUAUGUAUACAUCAGCCUGAACCCAGCACUGAUUAUUAACAGCCUCACCUCAGAAGCAACUUUUCAAGUAAACCCUUCUAAGACACCUGUUAACCUUACACNAGNAACAUUUCAAGAAAGAUUAAAAGANAAAUGAAGGNAACUCGGCAAACACCAACCNCCGCCUGNNNNACCAAAAACAUCGCCUCUUGAAAAGUAUAAGAGGUCCAGCCUGCCCAGUGACUUGUUUAACGGCCGCGGUAUCCUAACCGCGCGAAGGUAGCGUAAUCACUUGUUUUUUAAAUCAAGACUAGUAUGAAAGGCACCACGAGGGUCAAACUGUCUCCUUUUUCUAAUCAGUGAAACUAAUCUUCCCGUGAAGAAGCGGGAAUUAUCAUAUAAGACGAGAAGACCCUAUGGAGCUUCAAACUGUAAGUCAUUUGUCUACCCCCUUCCCCCAUUUCAGAAACAUAACACCUACGACUCAUUGACCCUACGUUUUGGGUUGGGGUGACCUAGGAGUAAAAAUUACCCUCCUAGCUGACACGGGUUAAACCCUAAGAAAAAAGCCACAACUUUAGCCAUCAAUAAAUUGACAUCUAUUGACCCAGUACGCUGAGCAACGAACCAAGUUACCCUAGGGAUAACAGCGCAAUCUACUUCGAGAGUUCCUAUCGACAAGUGGGUUUACGACCUCGAUGUUGGAUCAGGGUUUCCGAGUGGUGCAGCCGCUACUAAAGGUUCGUUUGUUCAACGAUUAAAACCCUAC
RNAcentral lists this ribosomal RNA (1427 nucleotides) under Microkayla teqta. RNAcentral's name for it is "partial 16S ribosomal RNA". It matches the Rfam family "Bacterial large subunit ribosomal RNA", at positions 379 to 2599 of the family's 2925-position model. Lineage: Eukaryota; Metazoa; Chordata; Amphibia; Anura; Craugastoridae. The record is from RNAcentral.